RNAcentral lists this ribosomal RNA (253 nucleotides) under uncultured bacterium. Its description in RNAcentral is "partial 16S ribosomal RNA". It matches the Rfam family "Bacterial small subunit ribosomal RNA", at positions 524 to 776 of the family's 1533-position model. The record is from RNAcentral.
UACGUAGGGGGCAAGCGUUGUCCGGAAUCAUUGGGCGUAAAGCGCGUGUAGGCGGCUCGGUAAGUCCGCUCUGAAAGUCCAGGGCUCAACCCUGGGAUGCGGGUGGAUACUGUCGGGCUUGAGUACGGAAGAGGCGAGUGGAAUUCCUGGUGUAGCGGUGAAAUGCGCAGAUAUCAGGAGGAACACCAAUUGCGAAGGCAGCUCGCUGGGACGUUACUGACGCUGAGACGCGAAAGCGUGGGGAGCAAACAGG